ACUAUUCUCAAGUAAUGCUAGAUUCUCAUAAGUUUACAACAUUAACCAUCCUACAGGGAUUCUGAACUUUGUUCACAGUCAAGUAAGUGGGGAUGGCUGACUAGAAAAUAGAAAGUUCUAAGUCCAGAGCACCAUUGAGUCUGUGUUAAAUAACACUAAGUGUUGUGAUGAGCAAAGCCCUUUUUGGGUUCCUGCUGCUGAAAGCACUCCUAGCACUAAGCAGGAUCCAUAUGCAAUACUUGCUCAGCUGUCAUAUGGCCUCUGCUGGCAUAUUAGAGAACUUGAAAAUGCCCUAGAACUUAAAAAGGUGAGCCAAACUAAGAAAAUUCAUUUGAAUUCCAUUUAUCUUUGUAAUCUUUCUCCUCCCACUCUAGGGAUAAGAAUUAAACUUCAAAGUUUAGGCUUUUUUUUUAAUUACUUUCUGAUUUUACUUUUAAAAAGAGCUGCAUUUUUUGUUUUAUCGGUUGCUUAAAUUAUAAGUAAAAAGGCUGGCCAAACAUUAGUUAAGUCAACCUUGUACAAACCAUACCUGUCACUGACCUUUUACACUGCUAAUAGUAGUGUGUAAAUUGUGAUUAUUGAUUGUACUUAAACAUGGAAAUAUUCAGGGCCAGGAAGUUUGAUACGCAUGUGUGAUAAGCACAUGAACGUGUGUUUAAUAUGAAACAAAUUGAAAAGCUGGAAGUAGGAGCUGGAGAGAGAGCUCAGUUAGGAGAGUGCACUGAUAGCUUCUCGGCCUUAUGGCUAAGAUCAAGUUUAGGAGAGUGCAGUACUCUUGUAGAGGACCCAUAGCAGGUGGACCACAGAUGCCUGAAAUCGAGACCCAGGGCAUCUUUGUCAAAUUUACAUUCUGUAUACUUCCACACAGAAACACAAACCCAUACACAUAAUUACAUAUAAAAUAAAAAAAUAAAAUAAAAAAAAAUAAAAAAAAAAAGAGGCUGGAUGCAGUGGUACUAAUCUCUAACAGAGCAUGUGUUAUGUGUGUUGGAAAAUGGAGACAGGAAGAUGACCCAGAAAUUUUCAGAUCAUCUAGCAUGGGGUCUACAGGAGAACAGCAGAGUCAAAGAGACCUGCCUCAGCAUGGGAGGAGAUGAGAACUGACUCCUGAGUGCUGUCCUCUAACUUCACAUGUGACCUGCAGCAUACACACAAGUAACUUAUUAAAAUAUAUUGCUAUUAAGAACCUAUAAAACACUCAAAAAAUUGAGAAUAGAAGAAAGAGGGAAUAAGUCAAAUAAAUUUUUAUUAAGAAUUUGGAAGAAAGCACCUGUGGAACUCAAACACAAAGAAGAAUCAGAAGAAAACUCAUAACUUGGGAGAACAGAAGCAAGUCAUGUGUCUCUCUUGCAGCAAAGUUAAAUGGCAUAAAAUUAUUUACUAUGUGACAAAUUUUCUGCUACAUCAAAAAGGAAGCCAGGCAUGUUUCUAGAAUAGAAAGAUGGGAAGAGGGUUGGCAAUAACAUGAAGCAAGCAGAGAACUGGGAGCACAAUGACAUCAGAAUUGAACUCACUGUUCCUUUGUUUACUCUUAAAACCAUUCUUUAAGAAUCAGUGAAGGAGCCACAGGCAAAGCUCUGAAGACAACUCAAAACUUUGAGUGAUACAAAUGCCAUAUUGUUUGGGAAUCACAGCUCUUCUAUUAUUUUGAAUUUUUUUUAUUUUUUUUGAGAUUAUAGUUACAUCAUUUCCCCUUCCCUUUCCUCCGCCCAAACCCUCCCAUGUACCUGUACUUGCUUCUUUAACAUUUUUGGUCUCUUUUGCCAGCAAUUGGUGGUAGUGGUGGUGGUGGUGUUGUUGUUGGUGGUGGUGGUGGUGGUGGUGGUGUGUGUGUGUGUGUGUUCAUAAAUACGUAUGUAUAUGUAUAAGGAAAAUAAAUGCAGCGUGCUCAGUCUGUUUAGUAUUACUUGUAUGUAUAUUUUCAGGGCUGACUACUUGGUAUUAGAUAUCUAAUUAGGAUGCUUAUCCCUGCAGAAAAUGAAUUCUCCCUCCCUCACUGGUCCUUAUUAGCCUAUAGCUCUUCAUCUAAGGGUGGACCCCAUGACAUCCCCACAUGCAUGUUGGCAUGUCUACUGGUGGUAUCAUUGGUAAUCAUACUAUUGAAAUGUCAUGAGUGUAGUUUCCCUGUCAUUUCUAGAAGGCAAACCUCAUUACAGUUUCUGUUUUUCUGGCUGUUUUAAUCCCGUCCAUCCCCUCCCCUGCAACUUCCAAAAUGUUCCUCUAGCCUUAAGUAUAGGGGUUGUGUUGUAGAUGAAUCAACUGGAGCUGUAAUGAGAAGCUUUUAAAAUGAGGGGCAGGAGCCACCUUACCUGUGGGUAUAAGGGUGAUAAGUAUUUAGAAUGAGUUUAAUGCUUACAUGUAUUACAUGUAAUUUUAGGUAAAUAUAAAGUAAUAUGAUUCUCUCUGACAGUGUUUCUCAGCUUGUGGGUCCCAACCCCUUUGGAGAGUACAUCAAACAGCUUUUACAUAGGGAUCAGCUAAGACCAUUGGAAAAUACAGAUAUUUACAUUACAAUUCAUAAUAGUAGAAAAAUUACAGUUAUGAAGUGGCAACAAAAAUCAUUUUCUGGUUGGGGGUCAGUGCUUUAUUAAACUGUGUUAAAGAAUCGCAGCAUUAAGAAGGUUGGGGACCAGAGCUCUGGCUGUUCUAACAUCCUGACUGCUAGUUAUAGUUCGUCACUCCUUUUCUUCUGCAUUUUUCCCAAUUAAAGCUUAACCCACACUUUCCCCUUUCAUAUUAACUCUAUCCUGUUAUUUUUCUUUUUAGAGCUCCUUCCCUACUCACCCAAUGGCCCCCUUUGUUUUUUUAGUUUCUGCUCUUUCUCCAAGUAUCUGAACAUUUGCAACUAGGAACCUCACAUGAGAGAAUACAGUGUUUGUCUUCUAGGUCUGGAUUACCUCACUCAGUUCUAGUUGCAUCCAUCUAUCUGCAGCUUUCAUGAUUUUGCUUUUCUUGCCAGAUGAUGAGUAUUCUAUAGUGUAUAUGCACCACAUUUGCAUUACCCAGUCAUUAGCUAAGGACAUUUAGAUUUUGUCCAUCUCCUAAGCUAUUGUGAAUAGAACAACAAGAACACAGCUAACAAGUAUUUGUGGAGUAGGAUAUUGGGUCUUUUGGGCAUAUGCCAAGGAGUGGUAUAGCUGCAUCAUAUGAUAAAUUUAUUUUUAGCUUUUUGAGAAUUCUCUACACUGCUUUCCAGAGCGGCUAUGCCACUUAGCAAUUCCAUUAAGAGUGAAUGACAGUCCCUCUCCCCACCUCCUGUCCAGCAUUUGUUUUCUUUUAGCCAUUCUGACGUUGGGGAGAUGAACUCUCAGAGAUGUUUGCUUUCUAUUGCUGUGACAAAAACCAUGAGCAAAAACAACUUUGGGAGGAAAGGGUUUAUUUAACUCAUGCUUCCAUCCUUGAGAAGAGCCAGCAGGAACUCAGGAAUCUGGAAGCAAGCACUGAGGCAAACACCAUGGAAAAUAUAGCUUAUUGGUUUGCUCUUCAUGUUGCUAAGUAGCUUUCUUGAGCCAAAUAGGACCAUCUGUGCAGGGGUGUCAUUCCCCACAGUGGGCUAGGCCCUUCCACAAAUAAUUAAUUGAAAAGAAAAAAGGAAAAACACCUAUAAACAUGCCAUGCCCAAGAGAAAAUUUGAUGCAGGCAAUCCCUCAAGGCUUUUUUUCCCCACAUUUCAUAUAUGUCUAGAUUUGUGUCAAGCUGACAAAACUAAACAUAGAAAUAAAGUGAAAUUUCAGCGUAUCCAUAAAAUAACAAUGAGACAAUCCAAAUCUAUGGAAUAAGACUAAGAUGGAGCUAAAUGCUUCUAAAGGGAUAGAAAAAAAAUAAUGGCUCCAGCCACUUGGGAAAGAAUAACACAAGUGAGAUUUUGGCUUACUUACUGAAUUUCCUAGGAAUGCACGACCAUGUAAAUCAAAAGAUUAUACUUCUUUCCCCCAAGAACUUAAAUAAGCCUUUGCCCUCUGAAGCAUAACAUGACUACUAGCAAAGCCCCUGGUAGCUUUCAAGCCUUCAGUGUAGUAUGUCUGUGUACUCUUGCUGAGCAAUGUACAAUAACUACAUAUUCAAUCACUAUUGCCUUCUAGGGAAGUCGCUUGAACAUCUAUGAAUCAAAAUAUCUAUUGUUCUUAUUUUUAAUGGACUUCCUUCUAUUUCUCCCUUUUACCAGAACAGAAGAACAGAAUGGUGUGGGAGACCUCCUUAGGUCAGGGAGGCCUCAGGAGCCCCCAAAACAAUGUAGGCUUUUGUCAGUCUUCUUGGUCACCCACCAAAUAGAGGCAAUGGUCUUACUGCUCCUCAGUUGUAAGAUGCUAAGAAAACAAGAUGGAACUGAGCUGGCAACUUUCUCCCUGCAGGCACUCUCUUGUUUAAACUCCCAAGGGUCAUGAUAAUAAUAAAUGGGCAAAGAUUCAAACGAACACUUCACAGAAGAAACGUACAAAUGCAUCUGUCCUAAGAGCACAGAAAGAAAUUCAGCUUUAUCAGCCAACAGAGAAAGGCAAAUUAAAACUAUACAGAGAUGCUACUGUAUAUACUUUCUGGUCAAAAGUGCAGACUGACCUUCAACAAGGAUGUGAAACAAUUAGAAAUCUUGCUGUUAUAUGAAAGGAAAGUGGUGCUGGACAGUAAUUCUGGUGGUCCCUAAGCAUCAUACCAUGCAACCUUCCAUUCUUAUGGAUUUACCAAUGACAUGUGGAAGUGCCUGGUCAUGUAAAGACUUCUACACAACUAUUUAUCUUAGUAUUAUUUGUAAUAGUCCAAAUUGAUGUUGACAUAAGUGUCUAAAAAAUUAGUAUCUGUCCAAUUACAUGGAGUAAAAUACCACAUUAGAAGGUAAUAAACCAAUGAAACAUGCAAUAAUAUGGAUUACUAUUUCUAUUCCAGUUAUCCUGAAUUCAAAAAAUAGUACAGAAAAUAUGCUGCAUGAUUCUGCAUAUAGGAUUUUCAAAGUAAUCUACAUCACCAGAAGACAGAUCAGCGGAGGCAAGGUAUAGGGUAGGGUAUGACAGAAAGGGGCACAAAGAACUUGUGGAAAUGGUUGAUUCAACUGGCCAUUUGAAUUGUGGUAAUGACUUCUAAGAUAGGUCAAGUUGAUCAAAGUGUGUUGUCCUUUCUCAUAAUUCAGUGUACUCCAUGAAGUUUUAAGAAAUUAGAUACAUUAUCUGAAAAAAUUUUUAAAAUUGAGUGUAGAGACUUGGCUUUCAGGCAAAACAACUAAUUCUUUUUAAAAAUCCAUUCCCUAGCUGAAUAUUGAACCUCCUCUCCAACCUGGGAGCCUUUCAGCACCUCACAUGCAUCCACUAGUGCUAGCAAGACUAUAUUCUAGUUAUGUGUUGUUUGGUUUAUCUACUCCUGCCUUUUCAUCUCUGAAAGGUGAGUUCAGAAAUAUUGAAUUUCUCAGUUUCCACCCUCCUGCCUGUGGUGUGUGGUUUGUGAGAAGGUGAGAGAAGAAAUAAAUGGACUGGGCACGGCAAAGCAGGACCACUGGGUAGUCUAUAGAAGUGCUGCUUUUGGCACUGAUGUUGAGAUAGGAAGGGCACCAAAGUUGUGUUAAUCCUUGCACAAGAAAGUCCCCUCUUCUGUGUGAGAUGUGCUGAGAGUUCAAGAAGCCUCAAUCUUCUUAAAUUAGGAGCAGAAUUGUCUAUAGAGAGUACAUUUUUGGAUAGUUUAGUAACUUUAUUUUUAUUUACUGUCAUCCCCACUGACUGGUGUAGGCUAAUAUAUGGAUUCUCUGUCUUUGUUCUUAUGUGUCCUGAUUCUGUGGCCAAACUGCCUGGUGUGAUUAUUAUUGUCUGAAUUAUCCAGAGCAGAUCUGGCUUGAGGUGGUAUCUGGUGUUGGUAUCCUGCAACACCAUCAAGACUUGGUUGUCUGUGGCUUAGUUCUGUCCAUUGGCUUUCUUCCGUACACUGGCUUUAUUCUCAGAUGGUUUCUCCAUUAGAAGUUGCAAACUAGCUGGACCAAGAACCAGUUCCAACAGCUGAAAGAAUAGGAGGUUUCUGGGAACUUGAUGGAGGCUGCUGUUUGCUUCAACGGACUAAAGUGUUCUGGGCUCCAACCCCAGAUCUGAGGUGCCUAUGAUUACAGCAAGGAGUGGUUGCAUGAGACAGUAGUAUUUGAAUUUGCCAGAGAGCCUGAUAAAACACAUCUUGCUGGCUUCUGGGGCCACCACACAGUGUGAUUCAGGGAUUCUGGGAGCUGUGUUUUUAGAAAGGCUUCAAAACUUGCUAAACACUGUAAAUCCUAGAACUGGUUCUGAGAAUCCUUCCUCUGUGGGCAACUGGGAUAAGGGGACUUAAGAGAGGAAAUGUCUGCUUGGCCUGGCUGAUACCUGUGAACUCUGUCUUUCUAAGUUCAGACUGAAGGCACACCCUUAGUUGGAUGGCCUUUGGAGAUGGGGCUUUGGGAGACUCAAAUGAGUCUCAGAGUUGGGCCAUCCUGGGAACGUUAGUAACUAGAAAAGAGAACAAGAGCAUGCUCUCAACAUGUGAAAACAGCAUGGAGGGAUCUGUCUACAGACCAAAAAGACACUUCCCAAGGACUCAACAAAUGGGUUUUGGUUCCUGGCUUCUAGGACAGCAAGAAGCAAGUGUCUGUUGUCCAAGCUGCCCAGUGCUUGACGGUGUUUCAAUAGUAGCUCCAGAACACUGACAAGGAUGUGGGAGAAAAAACUGAAACCAUAUUGCCCAUGAGUGUGUAAAAAGGUACAAGUACUCUGAAAAGCUGCAGUAUUCAAAGCAAACACGUGAAUACCAUAGCUCUGAGCAUAUGCACUCCUGGCCUUUUAUAUCAGGAAAAAAUAUGUGUCUACAAGGAGUACAAAGAAUACAUUCUAAAAUUCAAGAGUGCCUAAGAGCACAGUGCAAGUUAACCAGAACUGAUUCUGUAUUGUGAGUAGGAAGUACAAAGAAACUUUAUUAGGGUUCCUUCUAGCUUCACUAUACAGACCCUGCCUGCCCUGCACGUGGGCUAUAGGGCAGCUCCACCACCACCUUCAUGGGUCUCCAUCUGGAAGCCCAGGAUGCAAAGGACGUGACACUAGUGUACCACCCAGCAUGGAUAGGCUAGGGGAAUAGGUGUGGGGAUGGAUAGAGAGGCCGUACAUGCCAGCAUGUACUGUACAUGUGCUCUCUGCUCCCUCUGUGAACCCUGCUGCUUUGCCCUGUCCUCUUGUCCUGGACGCUAUUGUUCACAUGGCCCAGAUCUUUCUCUGGGCCCUGGGUUAAGGGUUCUUUUCUUUUAAAAUGACUCUGCAGCUUCUGAGGAAUGAACUUGUUGAUGGCCAUGACAAACCUACAGUUUUUGGUUUGGUUUGGUUUUAUUGUGUGUUUUAUUUUGUUUUGUUUUACCUCUUCUUUUUUAAAAAUGUAAAUAUUUUUACUUAUUCAUGUUAUAUCCCAUUCACUGCUCCUUUCCUACCAGUCGACCCCUCCCACAACCCUUCUCCCCUUCUCCUUUGGGCAGUAAGGACCCCACCCUGGCCUUCAGGUCUCUACAAGGCUGGGCACUUCCUCUCUCACUAAGGCCAGACAAGGCUGCCCAGCUCGUAGAACAUUAUUCCAUGUACGUACAGGCAACAGCUUUUGGGAUAUCCUCUGCUCCAGUAGUUCAUUUAGGACCCACACGAAAGUAAAGCCGAAUAUUAGCUACAUACGAAUGGAGGGAUUUUGAUUGUGAUCUUGCAGUAUUUUUAUUGGUCAGAUCUUUCUUUUUAGCCUACACGAACAUACUAUUAAGUUCAUUCACAGUUUUGCAGGGCCUCUCUGGUUUUUUCAUCUUAUGAUUAAGGCCUUCCUGAAAGUAGUCUAAAGUCUGCCUGAGAACUUGGUGCUCACCUACUUAUCAUGUUCCUAGGGAGAUGUGCUUUCAAGGUGACUGGCUCUAUUAUCUUCAUAGAGGGUCCAGUGUUGGCAGUGAGAAUUUUUCAUGGUGGAUCUUCUCCACCAUCUGCUUUUUAUUUUUCUUUUCCCAGCUUUUGUACAUGACUUACAAUUUGUGUUUGUUAAGUCAGCUCAAAUCCUGGGCCAUUUGGGACCCUCUUUUCUGAAUCUUCCUUGCUUUCUCUUCUUUUUCUUCUUUUUCUCUUUCUUCUCUUCUGAUCAGCAGCCUUUCUCCACAGCCUUGGAAUCACUGCUUCAGGCCAUGUCAAAGUGAAAGCCAAAACAAGAGCCAAUCAGGAAAGCACCCCUGCAACUUAUGCUGGGUGUUCUUCUGGAAGAAGAAGAAGGAAUCAAGUCAGGAGGCAACUAGACAUAUACUGUGGCAUUGGGUCCCUGGUUAGGUCUUCUCACAUACACACACCCACAAUCUGAGGCCAUUGACUGGAAGUUUGGGGCAUCCUAAGUCCAGCCCUGAGCCUUUCAACCAAUGGUAUGAGGACUAUGUGUGCACAGGUGGUCAAGGUACGUAUCAUACUGGCCCUCAAAGGCUAUUUCCAUAUCAAGCUCAUCACAGUUACAGCUGGACCAUUUCAAGAUUAUGCUCACUCAGGAAAGUCCUUGAGUUAGACUCUUAGGAGUCUUAUCUCGCCUCCUAAGCUGUACAUGCCCCCUUGCAGUACGGGUUGAUCCUACAUUAGAAACCAUAGUUGGGAGCGUUGUGCUGACUAUUGCCAUAGCUGUAACUAUAGUUCUUAUAGCUUGUAUUUGGCCCAGAAUUCUACAUUCUAUAUCCAUAAUCAUAGGAGGGUACAGUACUGGUGUCCACAUAUAUUGACUGCAAGGUGGUUUGAGAUGUCUGGAUGAAGCCUAUGUAGCUCACAGCACCAUUUCACGGGCAAUGUGACAGUGGAAGCUGGCCUGCUUCUUCUCUGUCUGAAGCUGUUGUAUGGUUUAGCAAAACAAAAAACAAAAAAAACAAACAAAAAAAAAACCUUUUGAAAUUUUAUUUUGAGACUUUGAUCACAUAUUUGCCAAGGCUAUCAUAAUAAAGCAGCUGGAAAACAAUCAGAAUUUGGGAGUUUGUGAAAACAUCUUGUGACCUUUAGUCAAGGUUUCUAUGAGGAAUACAAAUUAGACUAUAAGCUACUUUCCUGGAGGCACAGAAAACAACACAGUGAUUGCUGUCCUAACCAGUCUAUGCUGGACUUGUAUGCUUGGCCACUGCAUACAGGGCUCUUCUGUAACCCACGAGGGAGCCCACAGUCCUCAUCAUGGCUUUGAUCAUGGGUGCUUCCCUUAACUUACUAUAAAAAUUAGGGGAAAUCAUAAAAAUGUAAAAUGAUUCAUAUCAUAUAUUUCAUACACUCUUAAAUUCUCACCCUGUGCUAUAAUGUACACAAAGAGGGCCUUGGGAUGUGGCUUAGUUGUAGAGUGCUUGACAAGCAUGCAAGAGGCCCUAGGUUUGGUCCCACUCACUGCAAAAAUACAAUUAUAGAGAAGGCAGCAAGGUGGCUUAACAGGUGAAAGCCUCAUGAUCUGAGUGAGACCAAGCUUAGGAACCCACAGAAUGGAAGCAGAGAAUUGAUUCCCACAAGCUGUCCUCUGAUUUAUACACAGGCACCAUGGUAUGUGUGCACAAAUAUGGAUACACCACACACACACACAUACACAAAACUUUUAAAGUAAUAUUAAAUACAAUAAACGGUAGGAAAAAAAAGAAACUGAAAAUCUCACAUGCCCUGAUGUGAAAAAAUAUUUAAAGAAGACUUUGGAUUCAUAUAAAAUUGUAUUAUUGAACAGUAGAUGAAUUAAAGUAUUUUCUAAUAAUUUUUUAUCCUUUUACAUUUCUUUUGGAAUCAUUUUGACUAACAGGUGGCCCUACUAUGUUGAAGAAGUAGUUUUUAUUUCUGUCUUGAGAGAGCUUUUUGUUGAUUGGCCACUGGCCUGGACAUCCAAUCAGCAGGAGACUUACAACACUGAAAAUGCUCAAUUACUUCACAAACUAAGCUGAAGCCAGAGGAAGCAGGAAGCAGGAAUUGCUGUAACAGCCAAUGACUCAGGUCUGCGUCCCCACUGCUCAUCCAUCCUAACACCUUAGGUCACACAUUAAUGACAAGACAAAUGGGAGACAGGCUACAUCUGUAUUUGCAGAGAAGUCAUAAAGCUGUCAAAUUAGUAUUGACGAGACUCAAUAUCUAGUGUUGAUGAAAGGGCCAUUCUCAUCCCCUCCCAGGAGCCAUCUCACCAGUGUGAGAUAAAAAGAGCAACCUUUUUGCAGGGAGUCUGGCAGGAGAUGAUAUCUAAAAGUGAAUUUAAAAGUUCAACCCAGGGCUGGAGAAAUGGCUCAGAAGUUAAGAGCUGUAGUUGCUCUUCCAAGGACCAAUGUUCAAUUCCCAGCACCCCCAUGCAGUUCAUAACUAUCUAUGACUACAGUUGCAGGGGAAUUCAAUGCCCUCUGACCUCUGUAAGCAUAAGACAGGUGAGUUACCACAUACACACAUAUGUACACCCAUGCAGAUACAAAAUACAAAUUUGAAAAAUUAAACCUCUCAAUAAGGCAACCCGCCUGUCUUCUUCCUUAGAGAAAUUUUGAGAAAUAUAUUAUUGUUUUUUUUUUUAAUUUCUAUUUGGGGCAUUUCAAAUACAGAUGUUUUAAUGCCCCGCUGAUCUUUUAGUGCCCCUCCCAGGCUGAUGCUAUCAACAGUGGCCCAGCUGGACUUCCAUUUAUUCUGCCUCUGAUGUUGUAAAUUUUCUGUGCCCAUAGGCCAGUGGAUGAAUUACAGUAAGACAUAGACUCCUCCCAGCGGAUCACAGCAGAACAUAACUUGCAUCUGUUAACCUAACAGCCCUGGUCCUGCUCAUCCUGGGAGCUAUUUGUUCACCCCCCUCUCCAACCCUGCUGAGAUAGUCACAGCUGAGAAUGACACAGUCAGUUGCUGGUGCAACAUGGAGGCAAGAAGGUGGGAGAAGCUAGGGUUUUCUUUCUCCUACUCUUUAUCUGGCUCAUGCUGAAUCUAUCUCAUCUGAUACCCCACUGAUGCCCUUGGUCUUGGUAUCCUGACUCUGAUGGAGCAGUGGCUUUCUGGAACUGUAAAUCUCUGACUCCCUGUUUGCUGUUGAGUAUGUCAGAUGUGUGAAGUUUCCUGCAGCAGGCCCUCAUUAAAUACUCAUGGCUCCUGUUCCGGGAUUGGAUCCUGACUUAUGAAGCAGGAAUUCAAGGACUGCAGAAGGAAGAGUUGAACUGUGUGGCUACCUGCUGGUAUCUUGCUGAAAGUUAUUGUCUGCCCCAUACUUAAUAAGCGUGUUUGUUAUUAUUUUCCUCACAUUUUCAACAUUGCUCCUGUUUAUGACUUGAAGUUACACUUCAGCUUGUAAAUGAGAUUUCUUGUUUUCUAGUUACUGUAUCUUGGCAUGAUGUUUUUCAAACCCCAUUUUAUUAUGUUCCACACUUAAAAAGCCACCUGGAUAUGCUCCCUUUCUGGUCUUUUUGUUAAAGUAUCUUUAAGCCCCUCACAUGUUUUUGUAAUGUGUAAGGCAGACUCUGUUACGACAGAAAAGUUUCAAAAGACUUGUGCAGCUGGGAGCUUUUUGAUGAUUUCAUUUUAUAAGCCCCUUGGAAUGAAUGUGGGCAUUAAAAGGCACCGUGAAUACAGUAUCAGUUUAACAAGAUUUGAGUGGCCUUCUUUUUACAGAGAACUUAACAUUUCUAGACAUUGAGAUUCCACCAGUGCCUUUCUCUAUAAUGUGUUAAAAAAAUGAAAUUUAGCAGACAUAUAAAAUGGGAAAAUAGAAAAGUUGUCAUAAAUCUUUUGUAUUAAAGUGUUUUCAAUUGCUUCAGAAGGAAACAGGACUAGAAAGUCCAGGUGCUGUUUGUUAGAGCAGAGGGCUGCUGCCUCUGCAUCAUGAUGGGAUGUAAUGAAAGAAACUGAAGCUCACAGGUCACAUGCUUGCAGGGAACUCGGAGAAUUCAGAUCCAUCUGGCCUCUCUGCACAUAGCAGGGGUGCAAAGGGCCUGCUAAAGCAGUGGCAACUGCACAAUGAGGGAGAAUUCUCCAGACCCUUCUAUGUGGCAGGCCCAGAUCUGCCCUGGUUCCUGGCCACAAGCCUCUCCAUGUGAGUAGCAAGUGGGCCUCCUGACAAUGGGCAACCUAAGCUGCCUCUCCAGGCUUCUGUGCCUGCUCACUAUGAUGGGGAACUCAGCCAUGAGGACCACCAGCAUAUUGUCCCAAGAAAGGAUAAGGAAGCUGUGCCACUAGGUCUAGAAGAAUUAGAUCUCUAAGGUUUUUGGAUCUCCCAAGCCUGAGUACUGGGGUACACUGGAGAUCAGCUGUAACAUGGGCCAGCCACAUUCCCUCACACAAUGUUUUCUUCUCUUUUGGGGGACUUGGUUUAGGGGAUCAUCUUUGCUUCAAUAUCUUGACUUAGAAUAUUUACAUAUAAUUGGAAAACUUUCUGAGUAAGUAUUCUCACUUUCCCAUCUUUAAAUGGUGGUAUACUAUUCCAUCACAUGAAUAGUAAGUAUUUCUCUAAAGCAGUGGUAUAUUAGUGCCUAUUUGAGGUGUUUACAGAUUUUGUGCUAACAAAGACUCUGCAUCAUGAUAUCUACAGGUAUUUUUAUUUGAUGAGAUGUCUUAGCAAUCUGUAUGUGAUGACUUUCUUGCAUAGGAAUUUCAAGGGCAUAUAGGUGCUACAUGUUGAUGAGCCUUACUAUGAUCUUGGAAUAUUCUAGUUUAUAGUCACACAGACUUAAAUAAUGCUUAUACAAUUAUCACUGUUCCCCUUUAGAGUUUGGAAUUAUGCAACUUGGUUAUUUAACAUUGUCGUUAAGACUGGAAGCCAUGGAGAUAUAUGAGAACAGGUAAAGGACAUAGGAAUAGUUUUGCUGGCAAGUAAGGGCAUACAGUGUUCUGGAAGAGAGAUCAGCAUGAGCUGAUUCUCACUGUGAGGUGAUGCCGAGCUUCUCUUCUGCCAAACUGUAGGUCGCUGCCCAUUGGUCAUUACUUAUUUUUUGAAGGGCAGAAACAGACUGUGAAUUGUACUGUGUUUAGUGCAGCACAAUGUUUAGCAUAUAGAAUGGGCAUCCUUUUUAUUUGCAGGAAUGUGUACAUGUGUUGUGUAUGUCUGUGUUUAUGCAUGUUUGUACGUGUGAAGGUGAGUGUGUAUGUGCACUGGUGCUCAUGUAUACAGAGGCCCGAGGUCAGAGUUGUCUGUCUUCCUCCAUCACUCACCCUUUGGAUACUGAGGCUGAAUCUCCCACUGAGCCUAAAGCUCACAGGUUCAACUACUCUACCUGGCUGGCUGGCACUGGGGAUGCCAUCUCUGACUCAAGACCUCUGGGAUGAUAAGCAGUCUGCCGGGCUCAUGGCAUUUGUGUCGGUUCUGAACUCUGGUCCCUGUGCUUAGUGCUCUACUCACUGAGCCACCCCUAAGUCCUGCCAUCCCAUUCUUAACCCAUAUUUUUAUAUCAUUCAAGUAAAUCAUGAUAUGUGCAUAAUUUUUCAUCAUGCUUUAUAAAUUUGACAUUAAUGGGGUGUGCAUACUAAUAAGCAGAAUUACAAGAUGAAGAAUUGAACCUUUUAUAUUCAAAUUUUCACUUUUACUCACAAAUGUCAUUGUUGCUGGAAGUAGGCAUAGACUUUUGUUUGUAGAGCUUGCCAGGCUCUUGCUCUCAGAACUGAAACUCUGUCUCUCUCACAGGAUGUGCUCAAAGGACAAGAGUAUGACAGACUCUUCAGCACUAUCCGUGUCAGUUUUCCUUUCUUGAGCUGGGAUCUCACUGUGUUGCCAUGGCUGGCCUUGUGCUCCCAGAAAUCUGCCUGACUCACCUCCAAGUGCUGGAAUUAAAGGUGUACCACCACACCCAGUCUUCAUGUCACUUUUUAGUAUUUGUAAAGAUUAAUGCGACUAUCUGCUCUUCCACCUUUCUCAGACAGAAGUAUCUUAGUAAAUUUUGAGCACACUGGGUUCAUUUUUAAUAGGCAGCAGAACAUGAAAAAUUCAAUCUGAUUGUGCAAGUCUACAUGAAAAAGAAAAACUAUAUUUUCUUCCAAUUGUGUUUUCCAAAAAUGUAGUUUUCCUUACUGAAUUUGCCAUCUAUUGACCUUUCUAUGCACUGACUUAAGAACAGAAUCAAUUAUUUAUCAAACAAAGUUACAGAACUGAGUAGACCCUCUGUUAACAUACUGCCAAGAAUACACUGAUUGUUUAACAUCAGGAUGUAAAUUUGUCUUAGAAGUGGCUGCUUGCCAAUGUUCAGCAUAGAUGAUUAAAGGGUUUUAAACAUA
Molecule: long non-coding RNA, 14159 nt
Organism: Mus musculus (house mouse)
Lineage: Eukaryota; Metazoa; Chordata; Mammalia; Rodentia; Muridae
Product: predicted gene, 34979
Exons: 2
Source: RefSeq, a predicted model, not a curated record